RNAcentral lists this ribosomal RNA (460 nucleotides) under uncultured bacterium. Its description in RNAcentral is "partial 16S ribosomal RNA". It matches the Rfam family "Bacterial small subunit ribosomal RNA", at positions 338 to 795 of the family's 1533-position model. The record is from RNAcentral.
CCUACGGGAGGCUGCAGUGAGGAAUAUUGGUCAAUGGGCGAGAGCCUGAACCAGCCAAGUCGCGUGAAGGAUGACGGCCCUACGGGUUGUAAACUUCUUUUGUCAGGGAGCAAUUGGGUCCACGCGUGGGCUUAGCGAGAGUACCUGAAAAAAAAGCAUCGGAUAACUCCGUGCGAGCAGCCGCGGUAAUACGGAGGAUGAGAGCGUUAUCCGGAUUUAUUGGGGUUAAAGGGUGCGUAGGCGGAAUAUCAAGUCAGCGGUAAAACUUCGGGGCUCAACCCCGUCGUGCCGUUGAAACUGAUGUUCUUGAGUGGGCGAGAAGUAUGCGGAAUGCGUGGUGUAGCAGUGAAAUGCAUCGAUAUCACGCAGAACUCCGAUUGCGAAGGCAGCAUACCGGCGCCCAACUGACGCUGAAGCACGAAAGCGUGGGUAUCGAACAGGAUUAGAUACCCGAGUAGUC